AACGAACGUUGGCGGCGUGGAUGAGGCAUGCAAGUCGCGGGAAUCCCGGGGCAACCCGGGGGAACCGGCGUAAGGGGCAGUAAGGCGUGGGUACCCACCCCCGGGUCCGGGAUAGCCCGCCGAGAGGCGGGGUAAUACCGGAUGACCUCGGGAGAGCAAAGCUCCGGCGCCCGGGGCGGGGCCCACGUGGUAUUACCUGGUUGGCGGGGUAACGGCCCACCAAGGGGGGGAUGCCUAGCGGGUGUGAGAGCACGACCCGCGCCACUCGCACUGAGACACUGGCGAGACACCUACGGGUGGCUGCAGUCGAGGAUCUUCGGCAAUGCGCGCAAGCGCGACCGAGCGACGCCGCGUGGGCGACGAAGGCCUUCGGGUUGUAAAGCCCUGUCGAGGGGGAGAAAGCCCGCAAGGGCCGAUCUAUCCCUGGAGGAAGCUCGGGCUAAGUUCGUGCCAGCAGCCGCCGUAACAC
Molecule: ribosomal RNA, 469 nt
Filed under: uncultured bacterium
Lineage: Bacteria
Description: bacterial SSU rRNA
Rfam family: Bacterial small subunit ribosomal RNA
Source: RNAcentral